UUUCCUCCUAGUUCUGCUGGGCAGUGAUGAGUCUCUACAGCAUUUCAAAUCAUCGGUCAACAUCAAAUUCUCCUGGGUUGUUCGGUUUAGCAGGGGUUUUUCUCCCCUCAUCUAUCUAUACUUACAUUUCACAAGGAAUAGUUGAGCGGUAAUUCAUUGUUUUUUGUGUUUCAUAAGGUUUUUGUAUAAGAAGUGGUUACAAGGAAU
This 207-nucleotide long non-coding RNA is filed under the name Carica papaya (papaya). RNAcentral describes it as "long non-coding RNA (CPAP_LNC011382)". The record is from RNAcentral. Lineage: Eukaryota; Viridiplantae; Streptophyta; Magnoliopsida; Brassicales; Caricaceae.